GUGGGGAAUAUUGGACAAUGGGCGAAAGCCUGAUCCAGCCAUGCCGCGUGUGUGAAGAAGGUCUUCGGAUUGUAAAGCACUUUAAGUUGGGAGGAAGGGCAGUAAGUUAAUACCUUGCUGUUUUGACGUUACCAACAGAAUAAGCACCGGCUAACUUCGUGCCAGCAGCCGCGGUAAUACGAAGGGUGCAAGCGUUAAUCGGAAUUACUGGGCGUAAAGCACGCGUAGGUGGUUUUGUAAGUUGGAGGUGAAAUCCCCGGGCUCAACCUGGGAACUGCCUCCAAAAGUGCAUGACUAGAGUACGGUAGAGGGUAGUGGAAUUUCCUGUGUAGCGGUGCAAUGCGUAGAUAUAGGAAGGAACACCAGCGGCGAAGGCGACUACCUGGACUGAUACUGACACUGAGGUGCGAAAGCGUGUGGAGCAAACAGGAUUAGAUACCCUUGUAGUCC
This 450-nucleotide ribosomal RNA is filed under the name uncultured bacterium. RNAcentral describes it as "partial 16S ribosomal RNA". It matches the Rfam family "Bacterial small subunit ribosomal RNA", at positions 354 to 796 of the family's 1533-position model. The record is from RNAcentral.